This 430-nucleotide ribosomal RNA is filed under the name uncultured bacterium. RNAcentral's name for it is "bacterial SSU rRNA". It matches the Rfam family "Bacterial small subunit ribosomal RNA", at positions 354 to 796 of the family's 1533-position model. The record is from RNAcentral.
GUGGGGAAUAUUGCACAAUGGGCGCAAGCCUGAUGCAGCAACGCCGCGUGAGGGACGACGGCCUUCGGGUUGUAAACCUCUUUUAGCAGGGAAGAAGCGAAAGUGACGGUACCUGCAGAAAAAGCACCGGCUAACUACGUGCCAGCAGCCGCGGUAAUACGUAGGGUGCAAGCGUUGUCCGGAAUUAUUGGGCGUAAAGAGCUCGUAGGCGGUUUGUCGCGUCUGCUGUGAAAACCCGAGGCUCAACCUCGGGCCUGCAGUGGGUACGGGCAGACUAGAGUGCGGUAGGGGAGAUUGGAAUUCCUGGUGUAGCGGUGGAAUGCGCAGAUAUCAGGAGGAACACCGAUGGCGAAGGCAGAUCUCUGGGCCGUAACUGACGCUGAGGAGCGAAAGCGUGGGGAGCGAACAGGAUUAGAUACCCUGGUAGUCC